This 301-nucleotide ribosomal RNA is filed under the name uncultured bacterium. RNAcentral describes it as "partial 16S ribosomal RNA". It matches the Rfam family "Bacterial small subunit ribosomal RNA", at positions 509 to 807 of the family's 1533-position model. The record is from RNAcentral.
CAGCCGCCGCGGGAAUACGAAGGGGGCUAGCGUUGCUCGGAAUCACUGGGCGUAAAGGGUGCGUAGGCGGGUCUUUAAGUCAGGGGUGAAAUCCUGGAGCUCAACUCCAGAACUGCCUUUGAUACUGAAGAUCUUGAGUUCGGGAGAGGUGAGUGGAACUGCGAGUGUAGAGGUGAAAUUCGUAGAUAUUCGGAAGAACACCAGUGGCGAAGGCGGCUCACUGGACUGGUAUUGACGCUGAGGUGCGAAAGCGUGGGGAGCAAGCAGGAUUAGAUACCCGAGUAGUCCCUGUCUCUUAUAC